GAUGAAGAACGUAGCGAAAUGCGAUAAGUAGUGUGAAUUGCAGAAUUCAGUGAAUCAUCGAAUCUUUGAACGCACAUUGCGCCCUUUGGUAUUCCAAAGGGCAUGCCUGUUCGAGCGUCAUUUGUACCCUCAAGCUUUGCUUGGUGUUGGGCGGUUUGGUGGAGGCCCCCUCGGGGGCUCCUGCCCCUCCCAAAGACAAUGACGGCGGCCUCGUUGGACCCCCGGUACACUGAGUUCUUCACGGGACACGUAUCGGACACAUGGGUUUACGGGACACGGUCUGCCUCCCCUCAGGGAGAAUCUUUCUAAGGUUGACCUCGGAUCAGGUAGGGAUACCCGCUGAACUUAAGCAUAUCAAUAAGCGGAGGA
RNAcentral lists this unclassified non-coding RNA (369 nucleotides) under soil metagenome. RNAcentral's name for it is "partial contains 5.8S ribosomal RNA, internal transcribed spacer 2, and large subunit ribosomal RNA". The stretch from base 1 to 120 matches the Rfam family "5.8S ribosomal RNA", at positions 35 to 154 of the family's 154-position model. The record is from RNAcentral.